This 85-nucleotide transfer RNA is filed under the name Mycoplasma seminis. Its description in RNAcentral is "tRNA-Leu". It matches the Rfam family "tRNA". Rfam says of the family: Transfer RNA (tRNA) molecules are approximately 80 nucleotides in length. Their secondary structure includes four short double-helical elements and three loops (D, anti-codon, and T loops). Further hydrogen bonds mediate the characteristic L-shaped molecular structure. tRNAs have two regions of fundamental functional importance: the anti-codon, which is responsible for specific mRNA codon recognition, and the 3' end, to which the tRNAs corresponding amino acid is attached (by aminoacyl-tRNA synthetases). tRNAs cope with the degeneracy of the genetic code in two manners: having more than one tRNA (with a specific anti-codon) for a particular amino acid; and 'wobble' base-pairing, i.e. permitting non-standard base-pairing at the 3rd anti-codon position. The record is from RNAcentral. Lineage: Bacteria; Bacillati; Mycoplasmatota; Mollicutes; Mycoplasmatales; Mycoplasmataceae.
GCCCGAGUGGUGAAAUUGGUAGACACGCUAGACUAAGGAUCUAGUGGAGCGAUCCAUGCAGGUUCGAGUCCUGUCUCGGGCACCA